Molecule: ribosomal RNA, 253 nt
Filed under: uncultured bacterium
Lineage: Bacteria
Description: partial 16S ribosomal RNA
Rfam family: Bacterial small subunit ribosomal RNA
Source: RNAcentral
UACGUAGGGUGCGAGCGUUGUCCGGAAUUACUGGGCGUAAAGAGCUCGUAGGUGGUUUGUCGCGUUGUCCGUGAAAACUCACAACUCAAUUGUGGGCGUGCGGGCGAUACGGGCAGACUGGAGUACUGCAGGGGAGACUGGAAUUCCUGGUGUAGCGGUGAAAUGCGCAGAUAUCAGGAGGAACACCGGUGGCGAAGGCGGGUCUCUGGGCAGUAACUGACGCUGAGGAGCGAAAGCGUGGGGAGCAAACAGG